UCAAACUAGUUCUUUUGCUCUUGCCAGUCCGAUACGUUACUUUUCUUGCAAAAGUCUAUCUCUAAGAUCAAGUUAUUAACACUUAAAUUUAUUAGCAAAAGAAAAAAUUUAGAAAUUACUAAUUAUUUGAGUCCCCAACAUCGACACUAAAAAUUUGUUGCGGUCUAUUGCAUAAGCAAAUGCACGCAAUCAUACAAGUAAUAUAGUGACUCAAAGAAUCAAAUAUCUU
This 229-nucleotide long non-coding RNA is filed under the name Capsicum annuum. Its description in RNAcentral is "long non-coding RNA (CANN_LNC016261)". The record is from RNAcentral. Lineage: Eukaryota; Viridiplantae; Streptophyta; Magnoliopsida; Solanales; Solanaceae.